UGGGGAAUCUUGCACAAUGGGGGCAACCCUGAUGCAGCGACGCCGCGUGAGCGAUGAAGCCCUUCGGGGCGUAAAGCUCUUUCGACCGGAACGAUAAUGACGGUACCGGGAGAAGAAGCUGCGGCUAACUACGUGCCAGCAGCCGCGGUAAUACGUAGGCAGCAAGCGUUGUUCGGAGUUACUGGGCGUAAAGAGUGCGUAGGCGGUUUUCUAAGUUCGGUGUGAAAUCUCCCGGCUUAACUGGGAGGGUGCGCCGAAGACUGGGAAGCUGGAGUGUGGGACAGGCAUGCGGAACUCCUGGUGUAGCGGUGAAAUGCGUAGAUAUCAGGAGUAACACCGGCGGUGUAGACGGCUUGCUAGACCAUAACUGACGCUGAGGCACGAAAGCGUGGGUAGCAAACA
This 402-nucleotide ribosomal RNA is filed under the name uncultured bacterium. Its description in RNAcentral is "bacterial SSU rRNA". It matches the Rfam family "Bacterial small subunit ribosomal RNA", at positions 355 to 774 of the family's 1533-position model. The record is from RNAcentral.